UAGGGAAUCUUCCGCAAUGGACGCAAGUCUGACGGAGCAACGCCGCGUGAGUGAAGAAGGAUUUCGGUUCGUAAAACUCUGUUGUUAGAGAAGAACAGCGCAUAGAGUAACUGUUAUGCGUGUGACGGUAUCUAACCAGAAAGCCACGGCUAACUACGUGCCAGCAGCCGCGGUAAUACGUAGGUGGCAAGCGUUGUCCGGAUUUAUUGGGCGUAAAGCGAGCGCAGGCGGUCAAUUAAGUCUGAUGUGAAAGCCCCCGGCUCAACCGGGGAGGGUCAUUGGAAACUGGUUGACUUGAGUGCAGAAGAGGAGAGUGGAAUUCCAUGUGUAGCGGUGAAAUGAGUAGAUAUAUGGAGGAACACCAGUGGAGAAGGCGACUCUCUGGUCUGUAACUGACGCGGAGGCUCGAAAGCGUGGGUAGCAAACAGG
RNAcentral lists this ribosomal RNA (429 nucleotides) under Bacteroidota bacterium. RNAcentral describes it as "Bacteroidetes bacterium partial 16S ribosomal RNA". It matches the Rfam family "Bacterial small subunit ribosomal RNA", at positions 355 to 776 of the family's 1533-position model. The record is from RNAcentral. Lineage: Bacteria; Pseudomonadati; Bacteroidota.